GAUCAUUAGCUACCUUCCCUCUAGUCUAUCGCUUCUAAAUUAGGAACGGCUAACGGAGAUAGCCGUCGAGUAGUAUUGCUCGAAAUUCAACAAACAAACAAACUCAUUCA
Limulus polyphemus (Atlantic horseshoe crab) is the source of this 110-nucleotide long non-coding RNA. RefSeq lists it as uncharacterized. The record is from RefSeq and is a predicted model, not a curated record. NCBI's taxonomy places the organism in Eukaryota, Metazoa, Arthropoda, Merostomata, Xiphosura, Limulidae. The transcript has 3 exons.